This 88-nucleotide transfer RNA is filed under the name Hygrophoropsis aurantiaca. Its description in RNAcentral is "tRNA-Ala". It matches the Rfam family "tRNA". Rfam says of the family: Transfer RNA (tRNA) molecules are approximately 80 nucleotides in length. Lineage: Eukaryota; Fungi; Basidiomycota; Agaricomycetes; Boletales; Hygrophoropsidaceae. The record is from RNAcentral.
GGGCAUAUGGUGUAGCUGGUUAUCACGCCCGCUUAGCAUUACGUAAGCUGAGUGCGGGCGGUCUCCGGUUCGAGUCCGGAUUUGUCCA